GUAGCAAUACCACCGGCGGACGGGUGCGUAACGCGUGGGAAUGUACCUAUUGGUUCGGAACAACUGAGGGAAACUUCAGCUAAUACCGAAUGAGCCCGUAAGGGGAAAGAUUUAUCGCCAAUGGAUCAGCCCGCGUUCGAUUAGCUAGUUGGUGAGGUAAUGGCUCACCAAGGCGACGAUCGAUAGCUGUUCUGAGAGGAAGAUCAGCCACACUGGGACUGAGACACGGCCCAGACUCCUACGGGAGGCAGCAGUUGGGAAUCUUGGACAAUGGGGGAAACCCUGAUCCAGCCAUGCCGCGUGAGUGAUGAAGGCCUUCGGG
RNAcentral lists this ribosomal RNA (322 nucleotides) under uncultured bacterium. Its description in RNAcentral is "bacterial SSU rRNA". It matches the Rfam family "Bacterial small subunit ribosomal RNA", at positions 83 to 422 of the family's 1533-position model. The record is from RNAcentral.